This 774-nucleotide ribosomal RNA is filed under the name uncultured Neocallimastigales. Its description in RNAcentral is "partial large subunit ribosomal RNA". It matches the Rfam family "Eukaryotic large subunit ribosomal RNA", at positions 18 to 644 of the family's 3401-position model. The record is from RNAcentral. Lineage: Eukaryota; Fungi; Neocallimastigomycota; Neocallimastigomycetes; Neocallimastigales.
UCAGACGAUGCGUCAUGCAUAUCAAUAAGCGGAGGAAAAGAAACUAACAAGGAUUCCCCUAGUAACGGCGAGUGAAGCGGGAAGAGCUCAAAUUUGAAAUCUUAAAGGGUUUCCCUUUACGAAUUGUAGUUUAAAGAAGUGUUUUCUGUUGAGGUUUUGGUAAAAGUUCUUUGGAAUAGGACAUCAUAGAGGGUGAGAAUCCCGUAUUUGACCUUUACUUUCAACUUUGUGAUACACUUUCAAAGAGUCGGAUUGUUUGGGAAUGCAGUCCAAAAUGGGUGGUAAAUCUCAUCUAAAGCUAAAUAUUGGCGAGAGACCGAUAGCGAACAAGUACCGUGAGGGAAAGAUGAAAAGAACUUUGAAAAGAGAGUUAAACAGUACGUGAAAUUGUCAAAAGGGAAGCGUUUGACACCAGUGUUGUUUUUCUGAAAAUCAAUUAAAGAACUGUUUAUGCUAAGUUGUUUAGACUUUAUCAGCUAACUGUUUAGUUUUGAGCUUUUCUUUAAUGCACUUUUCAGUUAACAAGUCAACAUCAAUUUCUUUUGCUGUAAAAAAGCUUGAGGAAGGUGGCUUGAGAUUCGUCUUAAGUGUUUAUAGCCUCUUGCCUAUGCAGUCGGAGAGAUUGAGGUCUGCAGCGUAGAUCCUUCGGGGCUAAAUGCAUUUGUGCUUAGUUAUAGCAUUUUAUAGACAACUUGUUGACUAUGAUUUGUCUUGUAGCUUACUCGCUUAUGUUAUUUUACCUACGCUUAGGAUGUUGAAUCUGUGCGAGACUAC